CGGGGCAUAGCUCAGCUGGUAGAGCGCUCGGUUUGGGACCGAGAGGUCACAGGUUCAAAUCCUGUUGCCCCGA
This 73-nucleotide transfer RNA is filed under the name Elusimicrobiota bacterium. RNAcentral's name for it is "Elusimicrobia bacterium (groundwater metagenome) tRNA-Pro". It matches the Rfam family "tRNA". From Rfam's summary of the family: Transfer RNA (tRNA) molecules are approximately 80 nucleotides in length. The record is from RNAcentral. Lineage: Bacteria; Pseudomonadati; Elusimicrobiota.